GUCUUUGGAGGCAGAGAGUUGGCCAGAAACAAUUCGCUUGUCAAGGACUACGGUGUCAUUAGUGGCAAAGUUUUGCAUUUGGUUCUUAAGCUUUCUGAUCUCUUGCUUAUCACUGUACGUACCACUUGUGGACGGGAAGUUGAGUUCCAUGCAGAUAGAUAUAGGAAUGUUGGGUAUUUAAAGCAACGAAUAUUUAAAGAAGGGAGAGUUUUUAUUGAUGUUGAGGAACAAGAGAUCUUUUACAAUGGUGAAAAGCUUGACAACCACAGGCUUAUUGGCGAUAUAUGCAUCAACAAUGAUGCUGCCAUUCAUUUGUUGGUCCAAAAAUCUGCACAGGUGAGGGACAGGUGAGGGCUACGCCCUUGGAGAAAGAUUUUGAGAUCUCCAUUGUGGCAGUGAAUCCCAAUGAGAGAAGAGAGAGUGAAGUAGAAGGAGGACA
This 439-nucleotide unclassified non-coding RNA is filed under the name Hevea brasiliensis (rubber tree). Lineage: Eukaryota; Viridiplantae; Streptophyta; Magnoliopsida; Malpighiales; Euphorbiaceae. The record is from RNAcentral.